AAAUCAGCAGGGGAUCAAAUACUUAUUUCCAUCACUGUACAACUGCUUGUAGGUGACAACACAGGUAAAGGUGGUUUCCAUUAAGGGCUUGGGUGAAGGCAACCUUUUCUUGCUUACAGUUCAGUUCACAGUUGAGUUUCUCUGACUGAAAGACUAGCUUGUCUCCCCAAACCAUCAAAUAUUUAUGCUCCUAAUGCUGGAUGUUUUACAGACUGAAAGAAUCCUUAUUGCUGUGCAAUUGGCUUCCUUUACAAGCCCUACAUUCAAGAGAUAGAUAGAUGAAAACCUUUGGAUCGAUAGUCUCUGGAUGUUGUUGGACUGCAGCUCCCAUCGUCUCCAUCACAGUGACCUUCAAACAUUGUGAUGGGGAUGAUGGAAGCUCUAGUCUAACCACAUCUGGGGACCCAAGUUUGAGAACCCCUGGAUGACUUGUAUAAAUGAAUGGACCAUCACAGAUAUAACACAGAAGAGGUAGAAUGUUCAUGUUGGGCUGGUUCAGAGAACCCAUGGCUUCAGGUUCCAUUUAUGACCCAGUGAUCCAUGGCUUAUUGGAUCACAAACACAGCCCAGAGCUGGCUGAGCCCAUGUGCUUCCUCCUCAGGAGUUUGUGGCUUAGCUGUGGUUUAGAAAUCAAGGUUAUGAAACGGGUUUGUAGACAAACAAAUUAAAAAUUGAACAAACUGAACAGUGGGACCUAAAGGCUAUGAAAUACAGAGUAGUGUUUGAUCAAUCUUAUGUAAAGCUUAGUAUGAUAUAAGUGCCAUGAGGAUUCAUAACAGCAGAUGUGGGAAAAGUGGAUAGAGAAGAUUUUCUUCCUCUCCCAUAACCCUGGAAUCCUGAGUAAUCUAAUGAAACUGAUUGGCCAAAGAUCAAGGACAAACGAAAGGAAGUGUGUCUUUCACAAAAGCGUUUGUUGUAAUGUUAACCUUCUAGAUGCUGUAGGAAUUUUCUUUUUUUCUUUUAAUGCUGCAAUGGACUUACGUGGCCAUCCCACUGCAAAUUGUUAGCCUGAGUGUCUUCUAAAGUUUGCCUUGGGUCUAUACUUCACUGUUUGAGUUGGAUUACCUGUGUUUGUUCCCCUUUACCUCUGGAUGCUGUUCUUUAAGCUCCAACGUGUCAAGCUCAACUUCUGUUCACUGCAUCUGGAGCAAUAAAUAUAAUUCUGGAAUUCUUCAUAACAAAUAAGGAUGCCUGCACUGAGGCACCUUUAAACAGUAUAGUUGGUUUUCUUUUCUAUUUGCAACUUUUCAUUGCCUUGACAGAAAUAAUUUCCCAAGAAGUAAGUAGGCCAUAACAAUGUGCAGAAUUACAAAUAUCAUGUGGCCAAUCUUCUACUGUUUACCAGCCAGCUCUCAGUGCCUAAAUCUUAAAAUAAUCUCUGUGCUGUGAAUGGUGGAUGACUACAUGUGAGCACUGUCUGCUGCAAGAUAUACAGGAUGGGUAAGACAUCUGUUUGCAUGCCCGGUUCAACCCCCGGUUCAAUCCCCACCAUCUCCAAUUAGGACUGGAAAAGACUCCUACUUUAAAUCUUGGAGAGUUGCUACCAGUCAGUGUAGACAAUACUGACUCAGUAUAAGGCAGCUUCUUAUGUUCUUAGUAGUCCUCUAGGCUAGAUCGUGGGACAAUAAGCCUCCUGCUUCACACACUGAAGCCCCUGAGAUAAUCAUAACCUAGUUCAAGUCCAUGCUUUCACACACUCAUUUACAGCCAGCCCAUAAUAAUUUGCUGCCUGAAGUGAAACACCAGAAGGUCCUAAAGGAGAACGUUAAAACUCUUUUUCUAUUAAAACCACACGCCCAAUUCCUUCCUUCCUUUUCAAGUCUCCCAUUCUUUUUUUUAAUCUGGGGCCUGUUCACAAGAUUAGAAAGAGGACCCACCAUGAACAUGUCUAUUCUUCACCCCACUGGCACAUCCUUUUAUCACGUGGGAAUGGGCUGUUAACAAAAUUUAAAAUCUGAUGCCCCAAGAAUCCAAAUUCUGUUAAGAAAGGCUACAUUUUGCACUUCUAUGCGGGCAAGCCACACAUUUACCUAUGGUACAUGUGUUUGUAAGAUGCAUCCUUCAACCCAGAAGCACAUCUUUCUUAAUGAAAAACUUCCAUGGGGAUCUAAUCCUGAUUAGGACUACGAGGAAGGGCUAACUUUCCUCCAUGCCAUAUUCCCACUAAAAAUUUCCCAUUCAAAGUUCCUAUUUGCCCCACAAUUAGUAUUGUGGGGCAAAUAACUACUAGUAGAGAUAUAUUUUUAGUGUGUUUCCUGAUUAAUCUGAGGUGCCUUUUUCGUGUAUUGAUUGAUGAAAAAGUAAUUAGAUUCAGUUAUUAAAGGUUGCUGUCUUUAUAUGGUACAA
Molecule: long non-coding RNA, 2346 nt
Organism: Hemicordylus capensis (graceful crag lizard)
Lineage: Eukaryota; Metazoa; Chordata; Lepidosauria; Squamata; Cordylidae
Exons: 2
Source: RefSeq, a predicted model, not a curated record